GACGAACGCUGGCGGCGUGCCUAAUACAUGCAAGUAGAACGCUGAAGGAGGAGCUUGCUCUUCUGGAUGAGUUGCGAACGGGUGAGUAACGCGUAGGUAACCUGCCUGGUAGCGGGGGAUAACUCUUGGAAACGAUAGCUAAUACCGCAUAAGAGUAGAUGUUGCAUGACAUUUGCUUAAAAGGUGCAAUUGCAUCACUACCAGAUGGACCUGCGUUGUAUUAGCUAGUUGGUGGGGUAACGGCUCACCAAGGCGACGAUACAUAGCCGACCUGGGAGGGUGAUCGGCCACACUGGGACUGAGACACGGCCCAGACGCCUACGGGAGGCAGCAGUAGGGAAUCUGCGGCAAUGGACGGAAGUCUGACCGAGCAACGCCGCGUGAGUGAAGAAGGGUUUCGGAUCGUAAAGCUCGGUUGUAAGAGAAGAACGAGUGUGAGAGUGGAAAGUUCACACUGUGACGGUAUCUGACCAGAAAGGGACGGCUAACUACGUG
RNAcentral lists this ribosomal RNA (495 nucleotides) under uncultured bacterium. Its description in RNAcentral is "partial 16S ribosomal RNA". It matches the Rfam family "Bacterial small subunit ribosomal RNA", at positions 28 to 507 of the family's 1533-position model. The record is from RNAcentral.